AGGUGAAUGAGAACACAGAUAAAACAUAUCGAAAUCUCUCUAGGACACUACAAAGGCAGUUCUAAGAGGAAAGUUCAUUGCAUGGAGUUCAUUCCUUAAAAGAAGAAAAAGUCAACAAAUAAAUGACCUCACUUUACAUCUCAAAACUCUAGUAAAAGAAGAACAAGCAAUACCAAAAAUUGUAGAAGACAGAAAAUAAUUAACAUCAGAGCUGAAAUCAAUGAAAUUGAAACAAAAUAAACAAUUCAAAAAAUUAACAAAACAAAAAGUUGGUUCCUUGAAAAAAAUAAGUAUAAUUGAUAAACGCAUAGCCACACUAAUGACGAGAAGGGGAGAGAAAAUUCAAAUUACUAACAUCCAUAAUGAAAAAGGAAAUAUCAUGACAGACACUACAGAAAUACAGAAGAUAGUUAGAAAUUAUUUUGAAAAUUUGUACUCCAAUAAAAUAGAAAAUAUCAAAGGCAUCGACAAAUUUCUAGAGUCAUAUGAUUUGCCCAAACUGAAUCAGGAGGAUAUACACAGAUUAAACAGAUCAAUUUCAAGCAAUGAAAUAGAAGAUACCAUCAGAAUCCUACCAACCAAGAGAAGCCCUGGACCAGAUGGAUACACAGCUGAGUUCUACAAGACUUUCAAAGAAGAACUAAUACCAGUACUCCUCAAAUUAUUUCAUGAAAUAGAAAAAGAGAAAACACUUCCAAACUCAUUUUAUAAGACCAAUAUCACCGUGACUCCAAAACCAGACAAAGACACAUCAAAGAAAGAAAACUUCAGACCAAUAUCUCUAAUGAACAUAGAUGUAAAAAUUCUCAAUAAAAUUUUGGCAAAUUGAGUACAAAAACAUAUUAAAAAGAUAGUGGGCCACCAUCAAGUGGGGUUCAUCCCAGGGAUACAAGAUUGCUUCAACAUACAGAAAUCAAUAAAUGUAAUUCAUCACAUCAAUAGACUUAAAGAUAAGAAUCAUAUGAUCAUCUCAAUAGAUUCAGAAAAAGUAUUCAACAAAUUACAGCACCCCUUCAUGUUCAAAACACUAGAAAAACUAGGGAUAACAAAAAUAUAUCUCAACAUUGUAAAGCUACGUAUGCUAAGCCCAAGGCCAACAUUAUCCUAAAUGGAGAAAAAUUGAAACCAUUCCCUCUAAAAACUGGAACAAAACAAGGAUGCUUUCUUUCCCCACUUCUAUUUAACAUAGUUGUUGAAACUCUAGCCAGUGCAAUUAGAUAGAUGAAAGAAAUUAAAGGGAUAUGGAUUAGAAAAGAAGAACUCAAACUAUCACUAUUUGCCGACGACAUGAUUCUAUACCUAGAGGAUCCAAAAAAUUCCACCAGAAAAUUUCCAGAACUAAUAAAUAAACUCAGCAAAAUAGCAGGAUAUAAAAUCAACAGCCAUAAGUCAAAUGCAUUUCUGUACAUCAGUGACAAAUCCUCUGAAAGAGAAAGUAGG
RNAcentral lists this long non-coding RNA (1440 nucleotides) under Marmota monax (woodchuck). Lineage: Eukaryota; Metazoa; Chordata; Mammalia; Rodentia; Sciuridae. The record is from RNAcentral.